Molecule: long non-coding RNA, 1405 nt
Filed under: Felis catus (domestic cat)
Lineage: Eukaryota; Metazoa; Chordata; Mammalia; Carnivora; Felidae
Description: lncRNA (ENSFCAG00000048750.1)
Source: RNAcentral
CUCCUACCAGCUGUGCUCUGUCGACCACGAGUCCCUCCCUACCUGCUGGGGCAGCGGCUUCCCUUAGGAACUUCUCAGUUGGAUUCCGUAGUUUUUCACUCACUUCCGCUUAUUAGAACGGUCUCCUUCUGGUUGUUGGAAUUUGCCCUCAUUCCUUUUGCAGUUUCAACUUCAACCUCGCAUUCUGUUCAAAGCUCUUUGCCUUCCUCCCAGCACUGGCUGCAUUCACGGCCCCAGCGGCCCAGAGGGGAGGUGAGGGUGUGGUCGGCCAUCUUGUACAUCCUCCCUUCCUGUGAUUUGCCCUCUGUGGUGAGAGGUGGGGGUGGGAGGAGUGGGGGUAGCCUCUUUCUACCCGAUUGCCAGUGGGGACCUUGCUUGUCCCCUUUCAGGAGAUCAUUCCAGUGGUGUAGCUUGUUGACCCUGGGUUUGGUAUGGAGAAAUAGAAACCCCAACAAGCCCUCAAGGGCCUAUUUAUGGGUGCUUCUGAGCUUUGCAAGCCUCGACUACAUCUUUCAGACAUCCUCCAGGUGGUACUAUGGGGCCACACUCCCCUGAUAUUGUCCCAAUUUGGCCUGUGCCUCAGUGGUGUCAGCUGAGCCUGCAGCCCAGUGUCUAUGCUCCAUGGCCUCCUUGCUGGGCCUAGAGGCAGAGGUUCUUCUGGAAACUGGCACUUUCAGUCUGGCCACCUGUCCUCAGUUCCUGCUACCAGGGCUAGUCAGGAAGCUCACAGGCUAAGAAGUCAACCAGUCAAAAUGCCAGCCUCCUUUUCUGAUAUAUACCCCUAAAUGUGAUGAGCGAAUCUCUGAGGUCACCCACCUCCCUGGCCUUGAGAGCGGAACUCCCUCUCUUCUGACAGACAGCCUCUGUGACCUCCCAUGCCUCCUCUUUCAGCUCUUCAUGAUGAGAGCUGUGAGCCAGAUCUCUGGUUCUGCCCCUGAGCACCAGAGGCUUCUUUGAAUCCAGCUCUGGAAAACGUGGAACCUUUUCUCUCGGUGGGGAUUUCUCUAUGUCUGGUGUCAUUUCCAUGACCUUCAAGGUUGGGACGAGACCCCAAUCAGUGCCUCACACCAGCUUGGUAUAUGUGACUAUAUUCCUUUCAGAAAGCUGGCUGCCAUGGAGUCUUGGUAGUCAUUUGGAUUUUUAGAUCCAGAAUACCCAUGACGGAGUAGAACGAACCUGGGGUAUGCGCCUUUAGGCGGGCAUAGAAGGCAUUAAGGGGACCCAGCUCUGGACUUUUUUUUUUUUUACCUCUUUACAUUUUUUCCCCUCAGAGAUAGGAAGAACGAAUGAAUAAUGUAGCUAACUCUUUGGAUCUCAAGGGCUCCUGAGAGUAAUGAGUGAGGUCCUGGGGCCUAGUUUCUUUAGUUACCCUGAGAAAGGCAAAUAAAUGUCACAUCUUCCUUCA